This is a long non-coding RNA of Armigeres subalbatus, 629 nucleotides long. RefSeq lists it as uncharacterized. The record is from RefSeq and is a predicted model, not a curated record. Lineage: Eukaryota; Metazoa; Arthropoda; Insecta; Diptera; Culicidae. The transcript has 3 exons.
CAACAACCGACAGCAGUCGGGCGACAUUUUGUUUGCCGGCAUUUGUUUACAAUUUGCUCCGGGAGUAAUUUCUUCUAAAAAACUAAAUUUAUCUUUGUGAGUGGCCUAAUAAACCGUAGCAACAUAAUAUCUACUACAGUAGAGCGGCAUUAACGAUCGGUGCGAGAAAAUGAACAUCGAAUCAAUCAGUUCGGAUGAACGAAAAAGCACUCCGUCAUCUAGCAGGCAGAUCAUUUUGGCGCUCCGCAUAAGAAUUACCCAGAUAAAAUGGGAUGAUCAGCUAGAACAGAAAUAGAAAACUGCAGUGCUCCAUUCGGGAUUGGAAAAGGAAAUUCGCAGCAAAGUGGUAAAAUGCGGGAAAUAUCUACGGCAAGUUGCGCGAAGUGAUCUUACCGUGAGUAGAAUUCGGUAGUGACGGAUGCAAGAGGUCCCAGGGCUAGCUACACCAUUAAUAGAUAAUUGGCAAGUCACAGGGCUAUACAUGUAUAUCUGUUCUAUGUAGAUAUGAAUUUAUGCAAAAGUUGGACUGCUAUAUUUUAUUGACAGUUUUCUCGCGUUAAUUGGUAGUGAACGAGUUUUAACCAUAACACGUGAGAAUAAGUUUCUAUGCUGGGGAUGAAAAAUUAACA